AACAAAGAAGUAAAMAAUUACAUUUAGUUUCGGCCUAAAAAUAGGAAAACAAAUCCCUUGUUU
RNAcentral lists this transfer RNA (63 nucleotides) under Warodia lineata. RNAcentral's name for it is "tRNA-Arg". The record is from RNAcentral. Lineage: Eukaryota; Metazoa; Arthropoda; Insecta; Hemiptera; Cicadellidae.